AAGGGGGUCGAACUGGCCAGUCCGACGAAGCGCCCGCGCGGAAUCCCUCGGGAUGAAGCGCGGAUGACUGAGUGGCGGACGGGUGAGUCACACGUGGGCAACCUGCCCCGUGCCGGGGGACAACAGCCGGAAACGGCUGCUAAUACCGCAUGAUCCGGGAGGGCCGCAUGGCCCUGCCGGGAAAGCUCCGGCGGCACGGGAUGGGCCCGCGUCUGAUUAGUUUGUUGGCGGGGUAACGGCCCACCAAGACUGCGAUCAGCAGCCGGCCUGAGAGGGCGGCCGGCCACAUUGGGACUGAGACACGGCCCAGACUCCUGCGGGAGGCAGCAGUGGGGAAUAUUGCACAAUGGGGGAAACCCUGAUGCAGCGACGCCGCGUGGGCGACGAAGCGCUCCGGCGCGUAAAGCCCUGUCAGCAGGGAAGAAAAAAGACAGUACCUGACCAAGAAGUCCCGGCUAACUACGUGCCAGCAGCCGCGGUAAUACGUAGGGGGCAAGCGUUAUCCGGAUUCACUGGGCGUAAAGGGAGCGCAGGCGGCACGGCAAGUCUGGUGUGAAAGCCCGGGGCCCAACCCCGGGACUGCAUUGGAAACUGCCGGGCUGGAGUGCCGGAGGGGUAAGCGGAAUUCCUGGUGUAGCGGUGAAAUGCGCAGAUAUCAGGAAGAACACCGGUGGCGGAGGCGGCUUACUGGACGGCAACUGACGCUGAGGCUCGAAAGCGUGGGGAGCAAACAGGAUUAGAUACCCUGGU
Molecule: ribosomal RNA, 750 nt
Filed under: uncultured bacterium
Lineage: Bacteria
Description: bacterial SSU rRNA
Rfam family: Bacterial small subunit ribosomal RNA
Source: RNAcentral